This 227-nucleotide unclassified non-coding RNA is filed under the name Hevea brasiliensis (rubber tree). The record is from RNAcentral. Lineage: Eukaryota; Viridiplantae; Streptophyta; Magnoliopsida; Malpighiales; Euphorbiaceae.
UAACAAAUUUGGGGUUUGAAAUCUUGCUUGCAUCUUUUGAUACUUGAAGAAUUCCAGCUCUCAAUUGUACUGUUGACAAUAAUGAAAUCUGGGUUUGGGUUUCUGAAUUCAGGAGUGAAUUUAGCAGAUUUUUGGUGGAAGAAAGAAUUAAAGGCUUCCUUUUUUCCACCAUAAUUGAAAUUCUGUUAGAACCCUAGUUCCAAUUUGCAGUUAAUUGGGGAAAUUGA